GCUGUUUGUGUGUGAAAAAUGCAAAAAAAGUAACUUUCACUGACAAUAUCAUCGCUGUGAUAUGUUUUACUGUUUUGAAUCACUAAUAUUUGUGUUCAGCGAAGUCUCCCGAGUAAAACAGUACCCCCCAUGUACAGGUCUUAGGGUGUCGUAGAACGUUACAGGGUAAAAUACAGUGCUAGCAAAUUAAAUUCUCUGGAAUUUCGGCCUGGGUUGGCAGGCAGGUCCCUCAAAUUGCAAUCAAUAAAAUUACUGAAUUAUGUAAAAAUAUUACAUAAAUACGCACGUAGAAUUUAAAUAUAUAUGCAU
RNAcentral lists this long non-coding RNA (309 nucleotides) under Pelobates cultripes (western spadefoot toad). Lineage: Eukaryota; Metazoa; Chordata; Amphibia; Anura; Pelobatidae. The record is from RNAcentral.